This 2041-nucleotide ribosomal RNA is filed under the name Staphylococcus pseudintermedius. Its description in RNAcentral is "partial 23S ribosomal RNA". It matches the Rfam family "Bacterial large subunit ribosomal RNA", at positions 778 to 2821 of the family's 2925-position model. The record is from RNAcentral. Lineage: Bacteria; Bacillati; Bacillota; Bacilli; Caryophanales; Staphylococcaceae.
ACCGACUUACGUUGAAAAGUGAGCGGAUGAACUGAGGGUAGCGGAGAAAUUCCAAUCGAACUUGGAGAUAGCUGGUUCUCUCCGAAAUAGCUUUAGGGCUAGCCUCAAGUGAUGAUUAUUGGAGGUAGAGCACUGUUUGGACGAGGGGCCCCUCUCGGGUUACCGAAUUCAGACAAACUCCGAAUGCCAAAUAAUUUAACUUGGGAGUCAGAAUGUGGGUGAUAAGGUCCAUAUUCGAAAGGGAAACAGCCCAGACCACCAGCUAAGGUCCCAAAAUAUAUGUUAAGUGGAAAAGGAUGUGGCGUUGCCCAGACAACUAGGAUGUUGGCUUAGAAGCAGCCAUCAUUUAAAGAGUGCGUAAUAGCUCACUAGUCGAGUGACACUGCGCCGAAAAUGUACCGGGGCUAAACAUAUUACCGAAGCUGUGGAUUGUCCUUUGGACAAUGGUAGGAGAGCGUUCUAAGGGCGUUGAAGCAUGAUCGCAAGGACAUGUGGAGCGCUUAGAAGUGAGAAUGCCGGUGUGAGUAGCGAAAGACGGGUGAGAAUCCCGUCCACCGAUUGACUAAGGUUUCCAGAGGAAGGCUCGUCCGCUCUGGGUUAGUCGGGUCCUAAGCUGAGGCCGACAGGCGUAGGCGAUGGAUAACAGGUUGAUAUUCCUGUACCACCAUUAUUCGUUUUAAGCGAUGGGGGGACGCAGUAGGAUAGGCGAAGCGUGCUGUUGGAGUGCACGUCCAAGCAGUGAGAUUGAGUGUUAGGCAAAUCCGGCACUCUUAAGAUUGAGCUGUGAUGGGGAGAGGAACUUGUUCCUCGAGUCGUUGAUUUCACACUGCCGAGAAAAGCCUCUAGCUAGAAUAACGGUGCCCGUACCGCAAACCGACACAGGUAGUCAAGAUGAGAAUUCUAAGGUGAGCGAGCGAACUCUCGUUAAGGAACUCGGCAAAAUGACCCCGUAACUUCGGGAGAAGGGGUGCUCUUUGAGGUUCACGCUUCGAAGAGCCGCAGUGAAUAGGCCCAAGCGACUGUUUAUCAAAAACACAGGUCUCUGCUAAACCGUAAGGUGACGUAUAGGGGCUGACGCCUGCCCGGUGCUGGAAGGUUAAGAGGAGUGGUUAGCGCAAGCGAAGCUACGAAUCGAAGCCCCAGUAAACGGCGGCCGUAACUAUAACGGUCCUAAGGUAGCGAAAUUCCUUGUCGGGUAAGUUCCGACCCGCACGAAAGGCGUAACGAUUUGGGCACUGUCUCAACGAGAGACUCGGUGAAAUCAUAGUACCGGUGAAGAUGCCGGUUACCCGCGACAGGACGGAAAGACCCCGUGGAGCUUUACUGUAGCCUGAUAUUGAAAUUCGGUACAGUUUGUACAGGAUAGGUAGGAGCCUUAGAAGCGUGAGCGCUAGCUUACGUGGAGGCAUUGGUGGGAUACUACCCUAAUUGUAUUGGAUUUCUAACCCGCAGCACUUAUCGUGCUGGGAGACAGUGUCAGGCGGGCAGUUUGACUGGGGCGGUCGCCUCCUAAAGAGUAACGGAGGCGCUCAAAGGUUCCCUCAGAAUGGUUGGAAAUCAUUCAUAGAGUGUAAAGGCAUAAGGGAGCUUGACUGCGAGACCUACAAGUCGAGCAGGGUCGAAAGACGGACUUAGUGAUCCGGUGGUUCCGCAUGGAAGGGCCAUCGCUCAACGGAUAAAAGCUACCCCGGGGAUAACAGGCUUAUCUCCCCCAAGAGUUCACAUCGACGGGGAGGUUUGGCACCUCGAUGUCGGCUCAUCGCAUCCUGGGGCUGUAGUCGGUCCCAAGGGUUGGGCUGUUCGCCCAUUAAAGCGGUACGCGAGCUGGGUUCAGAACGUCGUGAGACAGUUCGGUCCCUAUCCGUCGUGGGCGUAGGAAAUUUGAGAGGAGCUGUCCUUAGUACGAGAGGACCGGGAUGGACAUACCUCUGGUGUACCAGUUGUCGUGCCAACGGCAUAGCUGGGUAGCUAUGUAUGGACGGGAUAAGUGCUGAAAGCAUCUAAGCAUGAAGCCCCCCUCGAGAUGAGAUUUCCCAACUUC